ACCAGCGGAGGGAUCAUUACCG
RNAcentral lists this ribosomal RNA (22 nucleotides) under Beauveria brongniartii. RNAcentral describes it as "partial 18S ribosomal RNA". Lineage: Eukaryota; Fungi; Ascomycota; Sordariomycetes; Hypocreales; Cordycipitaceae. The record is from RNAcentral.